RNAcentral lists this ribosomal RNA (431 nucleotides) under uncultured bacterium. RNAcentral's name for it is "partial 16S ribosomal RNA". It matches the Rfam family "Bacterial small subunit ribosomal RNA", at positions 30 to 507 of the family's 1533-position model. The record is from RNAcentral.
CGAACGCUGGCGGCAUGCCUAACACAUGCAAGUCGAACGAGACCUUCGGGUCUCGUGGCGCACGGGUGCGUAACGCGUGGGAACCUGCCCUUAGGUUCGGAAUAAUUCCCCGAAAGGGGUGCUAAUACCGGAUAAUGUCUUCGGACCAAAGAUUUAUCGCCUUUGGAUGGGCCCGCGUUGGAUUAGCUAGUUGGUAGGGUAAAAGCCUACCAAGGCGACGAUCCAUAGCUGGUCUGAGAGGAUGAUCAGCCACACUGGGACUGAGACACGGCCCAGACUCCUACGGGAGGCAGCAGUGGGGAAUAUUGGACAAUGGGCGAAAGCCUGAUCCAGCAAUGCCGCGUGAGUGAUGAAGGCCUUAGGGUUGUAAAGCUCUUUUACCCGGGAUGAUAAUGACAGUACCGGGAGAAUAAGCUCCGGCUAACUCCGUG